This 708-nucleotide ribosomal RNA is filed under the name uncultured bacterium. Its description in RNAcentral is "bacterial SSU rRNA". It matches the Rfam family "Bacterial small subunit ribosomal RNA", at positions 795 to 1500 of the family's 1533-position model. The record is from RNAcentral.
CCACGCCCUAAACGAUGUCGACUGGUUGUUGGGGGUUUGACACUCUCAGUAACGAAGCUAACGCGUGAAGUCGACCGCCUGGGGAGUACGGCCGCAAGGUUAAAACUCAAAGGAAUUGACGGGGACCCGCACAAGCGGUGGAUUAUGUGGAUUAAUUCGAUGCAACGCGAAAAACCUUACCUACCCUUGACAUGUCCGAGAGCCCGCAGAGAUGUGGGUGUGCCCGAAAGGGAAUCGGAACACAGGUGCUGCAUGGCUGUCGUCAGCUCGUGUCGUGAGAUGUUGGGUUAAGUCCCGCAACGAGCGCAACCCUUGUCAUUAGUUGCUACAUUCAGUUGGGCACUCUAAUGAGACUGCCGGUGACAAACCGGAGGAAGGUGGGGAUGACGUCAGGUCCUCAUGGCCCUUAUGGGUAGGGCUUCACACGUAAUACAAUGGCGCGUANCAGAGGGUUGCCAAGGAGCGAUCUGGAGCCAAUCCCGAAAAGCGCGUCGUAGUCCGGAUUGCAGUCUGCAACUCGACUGCAUGAAGUCGGAAUCGCUAGUAAUCGCGGAUCAGCAUGUCGCGGUGAAUACGUUCCCGGGUCUUGUACACACCGCCCGUCACACCACGAAAGUGGACUGCACUAGAAGCCGGUGAGCCAACCGCCAAGGGGGCAGCCGUCCAAGGUAUGGUUCAUGAUUGGGGUGAAGUCGUAANCAAGGUACC